RNAcentral lists this ribosomal RNA (446 nucleotides) under uncultured bacterium. RNAcentral describes it as "partial 16S ribosomal RNA". It matches the Rfam family "Bacterial small subunit ribosomal RNA", at positions 338 to 795 of the family's 1533-position model. The record is from RNAcentral.
CCUACGGGUGGCAGCAGUCGAGAAUCAUUCACAAUGGGGGAAACCCUGAUGGUGCGACGCCGCGUGGGGGAAUGAAGGUCUUCGGAUUGUAAACCCCUGUCAUGUGGGAGCAAAUUAAAAAGAUAGUACCACAAGAGGAAGAGACGGCUAACUCUGUGCCAGCAGCCGCGGUCAUACAGAGGUCUCAAGCGUUGUUCGGAAUCACUGGGCGUAAAGCGUGCGUAGGCUGUUUCGUAAGUCGUGUGUGAAAGGCGCGGGCUCAACCCGCGGACGGCACCUGAUACUGCGAGACUAGAGUAAUGGAGGGGGAACCGGAAUUCUCGGUGUAGCAGUGAAAUGCGUAGAUAUCGAGAGGAACACUCGUGGCGAAGGCGGGUUCCUGGACAUUAACUGACGCUGAGGCACGAAGGCCAGGGGAGCGAAAGGGAUUAGAUACCCUAGUAGUC